GCCGUUCGUUCAAGGGCAGGACACGUCCUCGGUAAGGAUGGGAUGGAGGUUCGAUUCCUCUCGACGGCU
Molecule: transfer RNA, 69 nt
Filed under: Planctomycetota bacterium
Lineage: Bacteria; Pseudomonadati; Planctomycetota
Description: Planctomycetes bacterium (groundwater metagenome) tRNA-Thr
Rfam family: tRNA
About the family: Transfer RNA (tRNA) molecules are approximately 80 nucleotides in length.
Source: RNAcentral